GUUCACAUAUGUAGUGUCCUGUCAGAUCUAUGGUGCUCAGAAGAAGUCCAGUGAACAGCGAGACCGUAGUUGUUAUGUCAAUAUUCUGAAUCUCAUGUUGACGUAUCCAUCUUUACGGGUUGCUUACAUAGAUGAGCGGGAUGAAGCUAUUAAUGGGAAGUCCGAGAAGGUUUACUACUCUGUGCUGGUGAAGGGAGGUGAUAAAUUGGAUGAGGAAAUAUACCGUAUCAAGCUUCCUGGCCCGCCUAAAAUUGGGGAAG
This 260-nucleotide unclassified non-coding RNA is filed under the name Hevea brasiliensis (rubber tree). Lineage: Eukaryota; Viridiplantae; Streptophyta; Magnoliopsida; Malpighiales; Euphorbiaceae. The record is from RNAcentral.